UCCUACGGGAGGCAGCAGUGGGGAAUAUUGGACAAUGGGCGAAAGCCUGAUCCAGCCAUGCCGCGUGUGUGAAGAAGGUCUUCGGAUUGUAAAGCACUUUAAGUUGGGAGGAAGGGCAGUAAGUUAAUACCUGCUGUGUGACGUACCAACAGAUAGCCCCGACGCCCA
RNAcentral lists this ribosomal RNA (168 nucleotides) under Pseudomonas aeruginosa. RNAcentral's name for it is "partial 16S ribosomal RNA". It matches the Rfam family "Bacterial small subunit ribosomal RNA", at positions 337 to 502 of the family's 1533-position model. Lineage: Bacteria; Pseudomonadati; Pseudomonadota; Gammaproteobacteria; Pseudomonadales; Pseudomonadaceae. The record is from RNAcentral.